This 229-nucleotide ribosomal RNA is filed under the name uncultured bacterium. RNAcentral describes it as "partial 16S ribosomal RNA". It matches the Rfam family "Bacterial small subunit ribosomal RNA", at positions 568 to 796 of the family's 1533-position model. The record is from RNAcentral.
UGCGUAGGCGGAUUAAUAAGUCAGUGGUGAAAUCUCUCGGCUCAACCGGGAAACGGCCAUUGAUACUGUUAAUCUUGAGUUCGGUUGAGGUAGGCGGAAUGUGUAAUGUAGCGGUGAAAUGCUUAGAUAUUACACAGAACACCAAUUGCGUAGGCAGCUUACUAGACCGACACUGACGCUGAGGCACGAAAGCGUGGGUAGCGAACAGGAUUAGAUACCCUGGUAGUCC